RNAcentral lists this ribosomal RNA (234 nucleotides) under uncultured bacterium. RNAcentral's name for it is "partial 16S ribosomal RNA". It matches the Rfam family "Bacterial small subunit ribosomal RNA", at positions 524 to 758 of the family's 1533-position model. The record is from RNAcentral.
UACAGAGGGUGCGAGCGUUGUCCGGAAUCACUGGGCGUAAAGGGCGCGUAGGCGGCGCGGUAAGCGUGCGGUGAAAGCCCGGGCUCAACCCCGGGUCGGCCGUGCGGACUGCCGGGCUGGAGCACUGUAGAGGCAGGUGGAAUUCCGGGUGUAGCGGUGGAAUGCGUAGAGAUCCGGAAGAACACCGGUGGCGAAGGCGGCCUGCUGGGCAGUAGCUGACGCUGAAGCGCGACA